AGAGUUUGAUCAUGGCUCAGGAUGAACGCUGACAGAAUGCUUAACACAUGCAAGUCAACUUGAACUUCGGUUUGGGUGGCGGACGGGUGAGUAACGCGUAAAGAACUUGCCUCACAGUUAGGGACAACAUUUGGAAACGAAUGCUAAUACCUGAUAUUAUGAUUUUAGGGCAUCCUAGGAUUAUGAAAGCUAUAGGCGCUGUGAGAGAGCUUUGCGUCCCAUUAGCUAGUUGGAGAGGUAACGGCUCACCAAGGCGAUGAUGGGUAGCCGGCCUGAGAGGGUGAACGGCCACAAGGGGACUGAGACACGGCCCUUACUCCUACGGGAGGCAGCA
This 334-nucleotide ribosomal RNA is filed under the name uncultured bacterium. RNAcentral's name for it is "bacterial SSU rRNA". It matches the Rfam family "Bacterial small subunit ribosomal RNA", at positions 8 to 353 of the family's 1533-position model. The record is from RNAcentral.